This 252-nucleotide ribosomal RNA is filed under the name uncultured microorganism. RNAcentral's name for it is "partial 16S ribosomal RNA". It matches the Rfam family "Bacterial small subunit ribosomal RNA", at positions 524 to 776 of the family's 1533-position model. The record is from RNAcentral.
UACGUAGGUCCCGAGCGUUGUCCGGAUUUAUUGGGCGUAAAGCGAGCGCAGGUGGUUUAAUAAGUCUGAUGUAAAAGGCAGUGGCUCAACCAUUGUAUGCAUUGGAAACUGGUAGACUUGAGUGCAGGAGAGGAGAGUGGAAUUCCAUGUGUAGCGGUGAAAUGCGUAGAUAUAUGGAGGAACACCGGUGGCGAAAGCGGCUCUCUGGCCUGUAACUGACACUGAGGCUCGAAAGCGUGGGGAGCAAACAGG